GAUGAAGAACGCAGCGAAAUGCGAUAAGUAGUGUGAAUUGCAGAAUUCAGUGAAUCAUCGAAUCUUUGAACGCACAUUGCGCCCCUCGGUAUUCCGUGGGGCAUGCCUGUUCGAGCGUCAUUUAACCCCUCAAGCCUAGCUUGGUAUUGGGUGCUUGUCCCGCCUCUCGCGCGGCGACUCACCUCAAAGUCAUUGGCAGCCCGCAUCUCGCCGGCCGUGAGCGCAGCACAGACGCGCUCUUGGCAACGACGGAUCGGCUCUCCAAAAGCUUAUUUCAACCACUGACCUCGGAUCAGGUAGGGAUACCCGCUGAACUUAAGCAUACAAUAAGCGGAGGA
This 338-nucleotide unclassified non-coding RNA is filed under the name soil metagenome. RNAcentral's name for it is "partial contains 5.8S ribosomal RNA, internal transcribed spacer 2, and large subunit ribosomal RNA". The stretch from base 1 to 120 matches the Rfam family "5.8S ribosomal RNA", at positions 35 to 154 of the family's 154-position model. The record is from RNAcentral.